Long non-coding RNA from Leopardus geoffroyi (Geoffroy's cat), 1867 nucleotides. RefSeq lists it as uncharacterized. The transcript has 3 exons. The record is from RefSeq and is a predicted model, not a curated record. Lineage: Eukaryota; Metazoa; Chordata; Mammalia; Carnivora; Felidae.
CAUGGAGAUGUGGUGCAGGCUGAGCCCUGCCCGGGCUGCUCACCCCUUCUGCCCAGGAGGACCAGGGUUCUAGAACCCUCCCAGGGUGCUGUCUGCCUGAAGGUUGGGGCGACAAGCCUGCGGUCCUGCUGCUCUGCUGUGUGGCUCUGCCCCCUUUAAAUGUGAAAGCUCAGGGAGCAGGGCACCUGCUGGGACCCGAGGGGGCAGCAAGGAAGUACCUUUGGGGGCCAUUCUCUGUGCCCAGACGGCAGGCUCACUGGGCUGGGCUAAUGAGCCUGGAGGUCCUCAAGGUCAAAUGAAACAAAUGGGCAUCUGCUUGGAGGUGAGUCAUGCCUCUUGUUCUACCCCAGCAGGCUUCUGUGCCAGGGAGACCAGGAGUCCCCAAGGGGGGGGUAUUUGAAGGGCAUUUGGGUAGCUUGUUGGUCACAUAUUUGUCCUGUAUCUUUGGGCUUGUCCUGGUAUCCGCAGUCUCACCCUGAACUGAAGCUGGAUCAGCCUCUAGACCUCGGCUGCCUCCCACUUCUUGCCUGGGGAUUCUGCCUCUGAAGUUCCUUGGUAUCUAUGACCUUGUCCCUUGGAGGACUGCAUGGUUUUCUCAGCUUUUUUCCUUGGAUGCUGCUCAGUUUAGGAAGGCUGUUUGGUGUAGUGGUUAAAUCUACUGAAGCCCUGGGUUUGAAUCCCGGCCAUGCCACUUACUGGCUGGACAACUCGCUUAAUCUCUCUGUGUCUGUUUCUUGUAAAAUGGGCACAGUAACAAUACUGACCUUAGAGGGUUAUUGCCAAGAUGACAAAAUGCAUGUAAGAUGUUCAGGUGGUACUUGGCAUAAAGUAAGCUAUUAUUUUUUUGGUUACAUUCCGUUCCUGAUAUCGGGUUGGUCACUAUACCCCUGGGGAGAGCUGUCUCCCUUAAACGUAACUUGGAGUUUUGGCAUUCUGGGAAAUGGGAGCUGUCGUUGUUGGUGGGAGGAUUGCAGGCUGGCCCUGCUGAGCAGACCUGAGACACAGUGUCCUUCCAAAUUUGGUGGCCUUUCCUUGGUGGGGAGGAGACAAGCAGCUGGCCUCCAGACUCGGCACCUUGCUGUGCACCACCGCUGUGUGCCCUCAGUGGCAACGGCGGUGGUGGCGGCUGGCACUGGGCUAAGCGGCCACCUCCUGAACAUCACUCCCUUUCCUCCUCUCGACAACGUUAUGAAGUGUGGACAUCAGCUGGCAACUGAGGAUGCAGAGGGCUUAACUACCUGAUGCGAGGGCGCGCGUCUCAUCGGUGGCAGAGCUGGCACUGGACACGUGGGCCGCUGCUCUGAAGCACAAGGCCUGGCAAGUUGCCACUGACAGUCCUCCUUGUUGUCACACCACGAGAGGCUGGUCUCCCACCCCCAAAUCCUCAGAAUUACCCAGGCACUCAAAAUAUCUCCAUGCCUGGGCCCACCCCAGACCCACUAAAGCAGCCUGUCUGGGACGUGGGCACCAGUAUGUUGCAGGCUUUCCAGGUGAUUGCUGUGCCUUGCCACGUUUGAGAAGCCUUGCUCUUCUAGUCCACCCCUCACAGAUCACUUUCCUCCCCGUGUGGUCUUCACUGCCCUGUCCAGUCCCCUCCCUCCUGGUAGAUCAGGGGAGCCUUCCUCUCCAGGGGCUCUCACCUCUGUCCCAUACCCCUGACUGCUUCCCCAGGCUAGGACGCCCUGCCCACCAGGGGUCCCACACCCUCGUCCCCGGGUUGCACCCCUCUUCCUUCCCUUGAUGCCCGUUCCUCUCUCUGGGUCAGAUCCCUUCCACCCCCAUUACACCUCCCACCACCACAGUCUUUCCAGGUGCUGUAAUGGGCUCCUACUUGGAAGAAUAAAGGCCAGAUGCCCAUUAUGCAGAA